Molecule: unclassified non-coding RNA, 420 nt
Filed under: Hevea brasiliensis (rubber tree)
Lineage: Eukaryota; Viridiplantae; Streptophyta; Magnoliopsida; Malpighiales; Euphorbiaceae
Source: RNAcentral
CAAAUAGAGGCAUUGACGCAGCUUUGUGUGAUGCUUUCCAUUGGGACAGAAGACUCUUUGAGCACUUUUUCAGUGGACUCUUUUGUACCUGUCCUGGUGGGGCUGCUUAAUCAUAUGAGUAAUCCUGAUAUUAUGCUUCUCGCAGCUAGGGCGUUAACCCAUUUGGUUGAUGUUCUGCCAUCUUCUUGUGCUGCUGUUGUGCAUUAUGGAGCGGUUUCAUGUUUUGUAGCUCGCUUACUCACAAUUGAAUACAUGGACUUAGCUGAGCAGUCUCUACAAGCUUUAAAGAAGAUAUCUCAAGAAGAUCCAACUGCUUGUUUGCAAGCAGGUGCACUCAUGGCUGUGCUGUCGUAUCUCGAUUUCUUUUCCACUGGUGUUCAGAGAGUAGCACUAGCAACUGCUGCUAAUAUGUGCAAGAAG